AAAAUUCUGGAAAACUUUGGAAACAUUGAUCUUCUGGUGAUCAUGUGGCCCAUAAUUGUGUGUGCUUUUUUUCAGCCAGCUGUGAGGCUAUCACCACCUGCCAUGAUUGUGUUAAUAGAACAGAAUGCAAGUGGAUUAAUUGCUCAGGAGAAACUUUUUCCUGUGGAAACGCAACAGAUUCCAACUGUACUGCCACUUCUCAGUGUUCUUCCAAUUCUACAGAUUCCUCAACUGCUGCUACCACAACUGCUAAUGCUACCAUAAUUAAUGCUACCACAGCUGCUUCUGCUACAAUAGCGAACAUCACCAACACAACUUUACCUGCUGCAUCAUCUACUGCUUCAAGUACUUCAGUUCUCACAACAAUCAGUACACCAGGUACAACUGCUACAGGAAGUACCCCUAAACCAGCUCCUCACAAGUCUACAUUUGAUGCUGCAAGUUUCAUCGGUGGGAUUGUCCUUGUGCUGGGUCUGCAGGCUGUAAUCUUUUUCCUGUAUAAAUUCUGCAGGUCCAAAGAUCGAAACUAUCAUACUCUCUAGAAUCUGCCAUUUUACAAUGGACUAGUAGCCCAACACCUGUAGUUGACUGAACCAAAAUGUUUUGUCCCAUAUGGAACGCCACAGUUCAGAAUAUUCUUUAAAUCUUCAAAAGACUUUUUGAAAGGAUGAUAUUUUUUGCAACGCUAUACUUGGCAAGAGAUGGUAUGAAUCUCUCUGGCUCAGAGGUACUGAAUAUGCUGCAUGAGUCCUUGUGAUUGUCUUUAGUGGCUGCAGCUGUGGGACUUCUAAUCUUCACAUGCCAAAUGUAGACCUACAAUGGUUCUUGUAUUCAGUGUUACCACUGUCUUGAGUAGACUCUUAUGAUUGGAGGCUGAUUUAACCAACCUUAAGUGCGGUAUCCCUAUAAUUUUUAUCAGACAAAUUAUCACUGAUUUAUCACUGAUUUCAGGGAGUAAAGACCAUUUGUGCUAGCUUGUGACUCUUAUAGCAAAUUGCAAGUAAAGUGAAUGAAGGCUUGUAGAAACCAGUUUCUUUUCAUAAAAUAUCCUCUUUGGUGAAAAUGUCAAACUCAUAUUUUUCUACAUGAGGAUUAAAGAUACCAACCAGCAAAUUGCAUUAUACACUUUAAUUUCUUAAAUUUGGCCUCUUCAGUAGUUCUAAUUGGAAGGGUGGUGAGAAUUUCCCUUCCAUGUAAGGAGAAGUUAAGUUCAGUGCCUUAAAUAUAGGUUGCAAAUACAAAUGUUUGUGCCAGAGUACUCUUCCAAACUCAACAUUCACUGCAUCAAAAGCAUGACUGACCAUUUUCUGACCUCUUGUGCCUGAGGGAUUGGGAUAUUGGACUAAUGUGAACUAGGAUUUCAUUAACACUCAAAUUGUUUCUGGCCUGUAAGAAGGCAAGCCUAGGAAGGCUAUAUAUAGCAUAAGUUCACAUGCCUAACUUGAAAAGGGCACCAACUUAUCUGAAAAUGUUAAAUGUGAUUAUCUAUUGUUAGAUGUUCAAGAUUAUAACAGAUGUUUGCUUUGUGCAUAGUAAAUUUCACUGUUCUCCACUGCCUACACCUUCUCUGUAUGAACAUUUCAUGCAGUUGGCAAGCUCUUGAAGUUUUAACUAUCAAAACAACUAGAUUUAAAAUGGAUGGUGUUCCUUAUCCCUAUUUUGAGGAAAUUCUAUAGUCUUAUGCAGCUACUGACUUGCAUGAUUAAAGAUAUUUAUCUUUAAACUGGGUGUCUAAACACUGAUGGCAUGAUUACUAUAAGUCAGAGCAAUGUGUGGGUUUUCUAGCAUGUGAAAAACAGUUUUAGUUGCAGUGAACUUUGCUUCCUCAUGCUCUAACAGCAUUCAGUGUAACAAACUACAUAGACAAACUUGAUGGAUAAUUUUGUCACAGUGCUGUACCUUCAGGGAAUUGCAAGUUAAUGCACUCCUGAUAAAAGCCAAGUAGUCAGCUCUGUUUUAUUAACAAUUUGAUAACCCAACUUCCAGCAAGUGACAUUUGGAUGGUGUCUCUUUAGCCUUAUUUUAAGUCACUUAGCCUGUCAUUCCCAUCUCCUGAAUUUGCCCAAAUGAAGUUAUGGAAGAAAAGAACAUGAUCCAUGCACUUAUUUCUAAUGUGGCAAAUAAGACUUAUAAAGUUCACAAUUGCCAAUAGUAUUCCUUAAACAUUUAGUAUUGUACCGGAUUCUCUCAUCUCUCAACACUUUGGUCUUAAACUUGCACCAAAAGGCUACAGGACACUUGGGAAAACAACACAAACUUGUAGUUUAAUUACUGUGUAAAACUUUGCUAAAAUGCUUACUUAGUCUCACACUGAUCUUGAUUGAAGUUAAACUGUGUGCUCAUUAAGCAUCUGAAUUUAAGUGCCUUUAUUUUGAAAUCAAUUUGAGGCCAAAGCUUUGAAGGGGGGGGAGGAGGUAACUUGCCUUACUUAGAUUAAUCCCUUGGUGUUAGCUAUUGCUACUUAGGAAACCCAGGAUCUUAGUGCCAGAAUGUCAAUUUUCAGGAAGCUUGAAUUUUGUAACAGUUUUUGCAGAACUAUGUUUAGUGUUCAUCUAGGAAGACAAGUUUUAUGCAGCAACCUAUAUGCUUGGCUUGCUAAACUUCAGUAACUUGAUUUAAAAUCAUAGCUAGGACUUGGUUUCUCUGGCAACUUAGAAUGAGUUGCCAGGCACAUGCUUGGGCUGCCUCUCAGAUGUUUAAAAUUGAGUUUCCUUGCAAAAUUAAAGUACAAGUUAGUCUUUGCUAGCUACCAUGUGACCUAUAGCAACAGAACUUUCAGCUCCUCUCAGCCUUGUGUUGAUGGAUGGUAGCUUUCUUAGAUUUAUUUGCUAGUAAGUUGCCCCUUCAAUUCAGUUCUUAAACACUGAAUUGUAGCUUUUUUCAAACUGUUUAUCUGACUUAUUCCUGAAGCCAAUUUGUACAAUUGUAUCAAAUCUGAAUUUUAUGAAAAUGUUCCUUGCAGACAUUGCUGUAUCUUUAUUUUGUCUUCAGUGAAAGAUGCAAAACAAAUUGAGAAAUAAAAUUAUUUGAA
This is a non-coding RNA of Pelodiscus sinensis (Chinese soft-shelled turtle), 3031 nucleotides long. The record is from RefSeq and is a predicted model, not a curated record. Lineage: Eukaryota; Metazoa; Chordata; Testudines; Trionychidae.